Molecule: long non-coding RNA, 383 nt
Filed under: Mytilus galloprovincialis (Mediterranean mussel)
Lineage: Eukaryota; Metazoa; Mollusca; Bivalvia; Mytilida; Mytilidae
Source: RNAcentral
CCUGCAGUAAAUCAACACCACAGAGGAGUGUUUGUUUUGGCAAAAGGCAAGGGAGGAAAAAUAUAUAUGCACCUAUAUCUGUUCAAGGAAUAGAGACAUUUAUUCUAAGCUGCGUGUGUGGGUCCUCUCUAGGUUGUUUAGAAUGAAUAACUUCACUUGGCCUAACCAAGAAAACAUUUCCCGUGGUACUUUAAAUACGAAGGUUGAAUAGAUCGCAAUAUAGCAUAAUUACUCCAAUGAUUGUCGAUUGAAAAUUAAUGUAUAUAGUUAUCAAAGGUACCAGGAUUAUAAUUUAGUACGCCAGACGCGCGUUUCGUCUACGUAAGACGUGACGCUCAUUUCAAAAUAUUUAUAAACCAAACAAGUACGAAGUUGACGGGCAU